GCCGCCCGAGUUCUCGGCUAACACUCACCUCCUAGCCAAGGCCCCGGGCCUCCUGCACCCAGGAAGCGGGGGCAGGGACAUUGCAGGGACGUGCCCUUGGUUUUGAAGGCAUUGGGUGGGUGGCCCUGCGUGUCUCCCAGCAGCCCUGCGUGGGCCCCCAAUGGGCCCUGCUGGGAAGCAGAGGCAUGGCCUUGGCAAUGGCCGCGGAGCCUGGCUGCCCGCUGUGGGGGGCACAGGCUCUGGCGAAAGUGCUUCCUGUCUCCCUGGCAAAGGCGCCCAUCUUCUGAGUGGAUGGGGCACUGGGAGCCACCUGCUGCUGUCCGCCUGCUGGUUCGCCUUUUGGGCAACGUCACUCCUAAGGUCAAAGCCCUCGAACCCGAUGCUGUCACCGGAGAAAGCGGCGCCCUGAGCAUCCUGUCACCGCUGAGUCCCCCGCAGGUGUGAGGCCGGGCAGGGGCGGCAGCGCCCCCCGCAGGGCAUCCCCACAGUGUUCUCGAACCGGGUUCCCCAGGCCGCUCCUGCCAGGCCCUCUUGCUGGCCAGCGUCUGGCGUGGAGAGAGGAGAGCCAGUCCCGGAGGUGCCCGCGUGACGCGUAAGGCCAGGCAGUGGCCGGUCCCGUGUCCCCAGCAGCAGCCCCUGCGCACCCCUGGUGCCAGGUGCAGGGACAGGCGGCCUCCGCUGCUCCCCUGACUCCAUCCUCAGGGUCCCAGUGCCGCAGGAGAGGCCAGGCGCCUGGACAGCAGUGAGAGCAGGACACAAAGUUAUCACAGCCUCAGCAGCUCGACCAUUUGAUAAAAAGGUCACUAUCAUGUUUAUUGAAUAAGGAAGAAAAACACGUCAGGGAAAACAGGUUAACUUAUUUUUCAUCGCAAGGAUGGCAACAAAGUCCAGCUUGUGCCGCCAAACGGUUCACAUGAUCAAACCGCGUACAGCUUCGUGUGACCUGGUGACUACAAACAUUUACCAAAGACAUAAACCUCUUGUAAAAAAGCCGUUUUAAAUAUAGCAAAGCAGUGUCUUCUCGCACAGCAAAGUGAAGGAAGUUUCUACAGAGGAAAGGAAGUGUUGCAUUUGUAAACCCCUUUUCACAUUCUCACAGUGUCCAGCUCCCUGGCUCCCACGCCCGGAGCCCCGCUUCCUGCUCACUGUGUGUCUUGUGCGCGGGAUGGUUCCUGCGGAAACGUAUGGGUGCCUGAGGGGGAGCCCUAGGGAAGGGAAACGGUGAAACGUUGUUCCUUAGAACAAACCCUGAUUUAGCCUCUAACGCAGUGGACGUACUUAGGGCUCAGGCGAUGGCGUCUGGGGUGGGGCCAUGUGACGGUCGAUGGGACCCCGCCCUCCCUGGGGUGAGGGUCCUGAGGGAAGGACAGCGGCUGGAAGCUGUCCCGGCCAGUGCAAUUCACGCGAAGCUUUUUGUGUUUUUGUUUUUAGUAAUAAAAUACUUCCUCGGGAUGGGUGCAUUUUCUGGUGAUGGUGUCAUACAAAACCCACGCGUCUAAAAGGGUAAGAAAUGGAGGUGCUGAGCGA
This is a long non-coding RNA of Myotis brandtii (Brandt's bat), 1527 nucleotides long. RefSeq lists it as uncharacterized. The transcript is spliced from 2 exons. Lineage: Eukaryota; Metazoa; Chordata; Mammalia; Chiroptera; Vespertilionidae. The record is from RefSeq and is a predicted model, not a curated record.